Molecule: ribosomal RNA, 497 nt
Filed under: uncultured bacterium
Lineage: Bacteria
Description: partial 16S ribosomal RNA
Rfam family: Bacterial small subunit ribosomal RNA
Source: RNAcentral
GACGAACGCUGGCGGCGUGCCUAAUACAUGCAAGUAGAACGCUGAAGAGAGGAGCUUACUCUUCUUGGAUGAGUUGCGAACGGGUGAGUAACGCGUAGGUAACCUGCCUUGUAGCGGGGGAUAACUAUUGGAAACGAUAGCUAAUACCGCAUAACAAUGGAUGACACAUGUCAUUUAUUUGAAAGGGGCAAUUGCUCCACUACAAGAUGGACCUGCGUUGUAUUAGCUAAUAGGUGAGGUAAUGGCUCACCUAGGCGACGAUACAUAGCCGACCUGAGAGGGUGAUCGGCCACACUGGGACUGAGACACGGCCCAGACUCCUACGGGAGGCAGCAGUAGGGAAUCUUCGGCAAUGGGGGCAACCCUGACCGAGCAACGCCGCGUGAGUGAAGAAGGUUUUCGGAUCGUAAAGCUCUGUUGUAAGUCAAGAACGGGUGUGAGAGUGGAAAGUUCACACUGUGACGGUAGCUUACCAGAAAGGGACGGCUAACUACGUG